Long non-coding RNA from Columba livia (rock pigeon), 19851 nucleotides. RefSeq lists it as uncharacterized. Lineage: Eukaryota; Metazoa; Chordata; Aves; Columbiformes; Columbidae. The record is from RefSeq and is a predicted model, not a curated record. The transcript has 8 exons.
UAGGAAGGCUUCUGGAGCCUUGCAGCCUCCCUGCAAUCAUGGGAGCUGCUUUGGCCUGAAAGUUGAGCAGAACUUGCCUUUAUUUUUUAGGACAGAAAUCAUUCUUGCAUAGGACACCCACUGUUUGGGGACGUGGCAUUAGGAUCUCUCACAAGAUCCUGUGAUCUGCACCAUGUGGGUGCUGCUGGCACAGGGGUGACGUUUGCCCUUGCUGGGACUGGGUGGUUGUUGGAGCUGGUUAUUUGCUUUGAGUGAUUGAUCACAUCUGUAUGGAACAUAAUGCUGCUUUGCGAAACAGCCCUUUUACGUGUCAGACUGACUCACAGCGUGACCUGAUGUAGAUUUAAGGAGAUAUUUAAGGAACAACUGAAAUUCACAGAGAACCAUGCUACUUUUUUAUUCUUGCCCUGGAGCUAAAGGCCCUUGUCAGCUGAUGGGAACAGGGCACAGUGUCCUACGGGGUCCCUCGUGAUGGCCAUGGACAUGGAGCUGUGCCGCUAGGUGCUGCAGCGCUACACCCCACCUCUGCCUCGCCAGGGUGAACCUGUCCAGUUCACACCAGUGUAAUUUGGUGAAGAGGAUGAGGAAACUGUCCUGGUGUUCCCUGAUCUGCUGCACCCCGCUGUGCGGUCUCAGGGAGGUCAGCGUGAACCACACCACAAUGGCACCGAGGCCCCGCGUUUGCAGGUGGAUGUGCCUCCUUCCAACUCCAGGGAAGCCCGAGAGUUCCAUACCCAGGCCCAUCCUGUGAACUUCAAAGAUGUGGGUGCAGAUGUUGGAUGGGAAUCCAGCCCAGCCCUUCACAAGCUGCUGUCCCCGCAGGAGCCGCCGCUGCAGAGGGCUGGGGAUGCAAUUUGGUUUGGGAAUAGAGAGCCUGUCAAGCAGUGAGCUGAAAAGUUGGAGUUUUCAAAGGGAAGCACAGCCCCUCAAGUGCUGCCCGUGUUGAGGGCAGUCUGAGCUCCUGCUCAUUCCCUGACAUCUCAGCGCUGAGGGCUGACGGGGCUGGGGAUGCGUCAGCCCUGUGCCAGGUAGUGGAUUUCAGCCUGCAGCAGCACCAGCUUUUGCCAUUUUACCCCAGAUUUUGUUACAGUUGUUUUUCAAAGCUCUAGUUCCCCAUGUCCUGUAAUUACUUGGAAGUUUCAGCAUUCUGAAAGCUGAAGGUAAAUUGACAACUUUGGGGAUUAUACAGAAUAGCUUGGAAACAACCAAAGAGUUUUAAAAGGAAGAAGGGCAAAUAGAGGAAACCCCAAAUUGUGUUUCUUUGAAAUCUCAAGAUUUGUAAGGCAAACUCAUGAUUUUGUGGCCUAGGACAUGACUGCUAAGUGCUUGGUGUUGGCAGUGCUGUGCUUAUUUUCCAUGCUUGGAUUUCUGUAUAGCUUUAUACACAUUAUGAAAAAUACAGUAUUUUAUGUUAUUUUUUAAAGGAAGCAGAUCACUUUGUUGGAUGAUCUCCAAACCAGACUGUAACAUACCAUAAAAAUUCUAUAGUGCACUGUAACAGACUACAAAAGGCUAAGAUGUUACUUUACCAGCACAAAAACCAGGCGCAUUAUGGAGGAAGAUAAUUAUAAGGUAUAUUUAUAGCCAAAGAGAAAGAAAAAAUAUACACUGUGUGUGUAUCCUGCAUAUUGAAAUUUCAGAACAAAAUUUGAUUAGAUCUUUGUAAAUGAAAUCCCCAUAUGCUGGUUUAUGAUAUACUUAUUUCUCAGCCUUUCAAACGAUGGCUGCCCUCGCCGCGAAAGCCGGUCAUUGCAGACAGCAGCUCUGUAAUUCACAACUGGCACAGGCAGAGUUUGUGGAUUCGAGUCUGGCAAAUGCCAGUCCCAGCGUAUCUGUUUCAGAGGCACAUGCCGGGAUUCCCGUGAAGGAGGCAGAGGAACCAUAUUGCAAAAGACAUCUAUAACAACUUCUUUUUCUUCUUCUUUUUUUAAAUGUGUAAUUAUAAAGAUGAAGUCACUAGUUUUGUUCAUUAAAAACCAACACUAAUAUAAUACAUAAUUAUAACCAAAAAGAAAAUGUAUGAUCUUUGUAGGCUUCAUCUAAAUGUCCCCUUCCCUAGAGGGGAUACUUCCUGCUAUAUUUGCAAAAAAUGUGUGCUUAGUGCCCAAGUCAUGAAUGAGAACUAAAAGCAACUGGAACACGGCGCUUUCUCCUGUGAGACAGAGCCAGCUCAGGACUGGAUCAAGACCUAAUUAAAGGAGCAUCUGAAAGGUGAGAUUGAGAUGCCUUUUCUCACACUAAUGAAGUGUCAGUUUUCCUGAAUCACGUUGCUGUACCAUGGACUUCCACGGCUUUGCCCCUGUACUGAGAGCAGGUUCGACACCUGGGGUCCUUUCCAGCCCUGAGCAGGUUUGGAGAUUCCUGCCUAAACGACUUGUGAGAACAAGAAUUCAAGCAUGAUUUCUUGAUGUGGUUUGAGCCAUAUUACAGUUUGCUGCUGCUGGAAGAGGGAGAUCCUGUUCUUCCAUGUGCUCCCCAGCUUCUGGCCACGUUCCUGCCAGUCAAGCUCUGUCACUCAAACCAGUGGAUGUGCCACAGGGUCCUGAUGUGACGUCCUCAGCUUCUGCAGGGACACCCGGGCUGCUGGACACAACACAGGACACACUUUCCCGAGCGCCACUUCUCCCUUUCUGCACGGGCCAAAGUUGCCUCCAGCUGCCACACAGAGGUCUGCAGGGAAUAAAACACGAGUACUCGGUGCCAGCUCACCAGGAGUGUUACCUGGAAGGUCUUGAUCAAAGCCUCGGAGGAAGGUGGUGGCUCAGCGUGAACCUGAGUGUCAGGCUCUCCUUUCACCACUCUUCUGGUUGUAGAAAUAGGAGCUCAACUAGGGACAAAACAAGAACUAGAGGUUUUAGUGACUUCUGACUUCUCGCUGGAGGAUGCGUUCUGUUGCGGACCAAAAGGAGCCCGCGACAACUGAUUCGACUUUUAAGAAAGAAAUUCAUGGUUGUAACCACCUUAGCCUCUGCCAUGGGGGAUGUAAGAGGCUGCGAUGGGUUGGUAGUUUAGUUUUGCCUCCAGUCCUGAAAAUGGGUUUAUUUUAUCUCUUGUGGAGAUUGGUUUGUGUGUCCUUUACUAUGGAGCCUUCACGUCACGGGGCCCAGCUUUCCUCUCUGAGGUUGAAUGAGGCAGCUUUCCCGGAGCGGGACUGUCACUGGGUGAUGGCUUUGUCUCCACGAUACUGAAAACAGACAUCAAGGCACUUUUCACUAACACAUUCCAUCAAUGCUAGAGGCUUGUCAUGCAGGGAGCAAACACCGAGAGAAGCAAAGGAAGCAUUUACAAUUUGCUGCUGCGAAAGGAGACAAGAUAAAUCAAUAGGAACUAAAUUAGAACAGCCAGCGGCCCUCACACCUACUUUGGAAACUCUAUUAAAAUCCAUGGCCUAGAAUUUGCAGGAGGGAUUGUAUGCGUGAAGGGUGAGUCAAGAUUUGAGAGCGAGCUAAUGUAAGUGACACCCACUUCUCAAACUGCCUGAAAACACUUGCUGCCAGAAUGCGCUGCCAGAGACAAGAGUUCUAGUAAGUAUUUGCUGGCUGUCAUUGGCCUCAGAUAAACACGUUGGGAGGGGAAUAGUGGAGGAGUCAAUCAAAAGAUAACACUGAGUAAAGCUCAGUUGUGUAACACAACAAGAAGUCAAAUUUAACCAAAGCUGAACAUAUGUCAGAGUACCGGGGGCACAGCGAGACGUGUGAGGGCCCAAUCAGAAUCCAGAGAGUCCUAUUUGAGAACAACACACAGGACUGAGAUCUGACAGACACCUUGUGUGAUUGAGUUGGUUGUGUGAUCGUGCUGCUCUUGGGUGACCUUUUUAAUUCAACUGAACUGAAAUCUGUCCUAGGCGUUUGCAGAACUUUGUAGAUUUCUGACAGCAUCCCACUGACACGCUGAGGUACAAGAAGACUUGCUAAAAGUCAGCUUGAGGUAAUUAGUCCUGCAGAAAUCUGUUUAUUGGUGCAGUGAAUACAGCAUUUGCAGGAAGCAUCCGGUGUGCGUGUUCUGUGCAGUUGAUCCACGCAUGCGCAGUGAUCUCAGACACUGGAUGUAGUGUAGAAGCACCAAACAGCUCAAAUCUCCAAGGCCACAUGUGUUGUAGAGUUGAUCCUGGUGUAUGUGACAAAUCAAGGAUUGCCAGAAGUCCUGUAAUUGCUACUCCCAACCUGGCUGCUGGAUGUUCGGGAAUCCUAGGCGAAUGUAUGAAGUCUGCUGCUUCUGCCAGGCAUAACUUGUACAAGAAAAAAAAAAGGAAAGUAUCCAGGAAAACCUGAGCACAUGGCAGCUCUGUGCAAAGAAGAUAUCACUGUCAGCACGCUCGGUCCUGGCUCCCAGACUCUCACUUUUUCACAGCACCUUCAGGAGAAUUCCCUUUUUCUCUGGCACUGACUGGUGUUUGGCUCGCUGGUUGAGCCCCCUGGACCUGCAGGGGAAGAAGAGCUGGUCAGGGCUGGCUGUGCAGCUGCGGAUUUUUCAGCUCUGCCCCUUCCCAGAGCUUCCCAAGGAAAUCAGUACAUGGAAGCCCUGGCUCUAUGCUAUGAAAAGGGUAGAAACCUCAGAGUCGCUUACCCAGCGCCUGCCAGAGGAGCUGCGGGGAGAAACGAGUCUGGUCCUGCACCAGCCUGGCAGCCUUUGCAGAACACGGGCUUCUUGCAAGAGCAGAAAGGCACCACUCGGUAGUUAAAAGACAACUUAAAGUUGUCAGAGUAGUUACACAACAGGGGGUUCUGCCAGUCUUGGUGAUAUUCUUCAGCUUCAUUUACAUUUCUAAAGUGAAUCGAGCCCUUCACCUGGGAGAUGCUGUAGAAACACAAGGCACUAAUAGCAUGGAAUAUGCAAUAAAAACUAAGCAAUGUAAAACACAUGCAGUAUAAGUGGGAAGAGAAUUCUGUGCAUGCUCUCUGCAGUUGCCUGGGUCUUAAGCAUGCAUUGAAUUGCAGCAAGUAAAGGCUAUGGAGUACAGAUCAUAAACUUGAAUUCCACUGCAAAACUGUGAGGGCAGAGAUCUGACCAUCACUAUAAAAUAUGAGAAGUGGUUUUAGGAGCAUCUGUUUUGAUGAGAGGGAUUUCAGAAUUGCUUUUCAAAGGUCGACUGCACAGCGUUUUCCGAAUAUCAGGCGCCAGGAUUGCUCUUCUCUUUGUAAACCCCCUGAUGUUUCUUGUGCAUUGGCACUGCACCUCGCUGGGGGAGACUUUGUUUCACAAUGGGAUAUUUGGGCACUGUGGUAAUGGGAACUAGGAAAAACUCAGAAGGACUUUCAUGCUGCAUCACAACUUAUCUUCUGCAUAGCAGAAGGAAGGGUUCCAGAUCUUCUGCUUUUUACCUUUAGGAUAUUUAUGGCAAACAUCUCUUAAAUGUCUAUUUUUUUCUGUCUUUCCUACAACAAACAGCUGGGAGAUAAUUCACUCUUAAGUGCUCAGGCUAGCUGUGCUGGCUUUGCUGUUGUGUGUGUCCUGGAAAUGAGCUACAGGUGGCAACGCAAGCUCCAUACUUGGGCACCACCCUAACGUACCGUGUGCCACCCAUACGGACGUUGUUUUUGCAGAGCGAGAACUAAAACCUGGAAGAUGGGCUUGUAAAGUCUCUCUAGUGGAUCGCUGGUGGGAAGGUUUGUCCUUGCUCAGUGCCUGUCCAUGGGGCAGCCGUUGUCACCAGGCUGUUCUGAUGUGCCAAGUUCCUCUGAUCCAUAUUGGGGACCUUGGGGCUUUAUGGGAGGUGAAGGUUGGUGAGGCCGGGAGAGCCUGUGGUGCUGGCACUCUGCCUUGGAUGAGUAGAAAGGACUUUGUGGGGCUUUGGCUCAGGGUCUUGCAGGCCUGGACCUUCCGCCUGCUCCAGCACUUCUACACCACAUCUGGUUCAGUGAUGGUGCCUACAAGCCUCUCAUGGACCAGACACUACAUGAACUGAGAGCGGCUGAUUUCCCAUCCCAGCAGAAGAAUGCUUUUGGGAAGGAGAGCUGGAGGUGGCCGUACCAGUCCCGUGGAGCACUGCAGAGGAGUUCCCUGGGACAGAAAGUACAGGAACGUCCAGGUGAGGAAACUGAGGCACAGAAGUGUUUUGGGGCUACCAAGGUACCAGAGUCUCUGAAGAACCCAGCUUGUCUCCAGAUUCAUGGGCUAAUUGGAGGACAGCCCACCUGUGCAUGUCUCUGUGUUUGUAAAUCCUGGGUCUAGACUAAUGCGAUACUCAGGGGGUUUGAACAUGCAGCAGUUUGCCAGUGAACGAUGGCUUCCAUCUUCUUUGGAUGGCAACAUGGCCUUAGUGCUGCGGUGGUGUCACUCAGGCCGUGUUGGGAAGCGAGGGCAGUGCUGCCGUGUCUGUGGCUGAGCAAGCAGGUGACGCGAGGCCGCGUGUCACAGCGGAUCCCAGAGCGCUUCUCAAGGGAGCGGGAAAAGCCGUGAGUGGGUAGAUGCCCACUGCUAAGGUUCAAAUCCCACUUUCAGUGCAGAUUCUGUAUGUGACUGUAAGAUGUGGAUUUUUAAAGGGGCUUAGGGGCCGUUUCUCCAAAGUGUUUUUAGGGAAGGGCUCCUCUUGUCUAAUGUUGGCCUUGUACAGCCAGUCCCAGCGAGGCCUUUGCUGCUGGUCUUGACUGUGUCUGGGGCAGGUCAGUCUGGAUGGGCUUUGCUUUCAAGAAUUAGACAGAAUUCAAAGGAAAUUGCUUGGCACAGACACCUAGUUUUGAAGUGAGAGAGGUUUGACUGCUGGAGGGAUCUUGGUGGGUUUAGGAAGCUUUGCACUUCACCUUAGGUGCUUAAGUAAUUCCUCAUACAAUGCAGUAUCUUCUGAAAUGUGAUCUUUAGGCUCUUUAUGUCUCCGUUGUGCGUAAAAUGAAAAUGCUAGUUAAUACUGAGAAGUGUUCUGGGGAUACAGUCUCACACAUGCGAAAGGCAACUGCAGUUCUUGUAGUCUCUAAAGCACCAGGCUGUGAGUCAUCCAGCCUCUGAAGGCUCUGGUUAAGAAGCAGGAGCAUUUCAAUGUACCUCAUUAGGGCUGAAUCUCCAGCACUGUCUGUAGUCACACACCAAAUGUAUUCAUCUCAAAAAGGGCAAAUGUUGAGAAAUUAAGGGAACUAAUUAGUGGAAUCAACUGUGCUGAAGAGCUGAGGAGUUGAAUGUGAUGGAAACUGGAUUCCAAAACUAGUUGGAACAUGCAGGAGGACAAACCCUGAAGGGAAACACUCCAAAACCAGUGGGAUAAAUGACCAGCCCCAAACACAUAUGGGGAGUUAACGGGGAGCAGGCAAGGAAUGGACAGAUCUGAUCAGCAAGAGGGUGUUUGGUUCACAUGCAGCCAGGGACUGAAGUCAGGUGUCGGGAGGGGAUCCACCAGUGGCCACCCGUCUACAUAUGGCUUGACUAUGAAUUAAAAACACGUUGCCUACAUUUUCAGAUCAUGUUGAACAGCAGGGCAAAGACAGGAUUUCCAGCAGGAACAUAAAUAAGGAAUGAAAAUUAUCACAUAUAAGAUGGAAAGAAAAGCUUAAAGAAUUCGGUGUGCUCAGAUCAAGGUGCACUGGCAGAUUUCCAUCCCAGGAUUUGGAAAGAACUGGCACAUUAAAGGAGCUCAGCUUAACCUCAUAUUUCUCUUUGAUGACUGAUUUUUUUUUCUACACAAAUGAAAUACAGGUGAUUUACUCUAUCCAGACUUGACUCAAGAAUCUGAUAUUAUACCACAUGGGAAAUUACUCGUUGAAGUUGAGAAGAUGGGGAUUAGUGCAGACGGCAAAUGCAGAACUGCUAAAGCAAAUGACAAGGAGCUCUGUGGAAAGGAGAAACGCGGGACAGAGGCGGUUAAUACGUGGAACUCCUCAAAGGAAAAGCCAUCCCUAAUGGGCAAAUCCGUGGUGUCAGCACGAUGCGGGAACAGGGCGGCUGCAUUAACUGGUGCCACUCAGCUCCUUGCUUGGAAAACCCCACUGGCCCGUCAGGCCAUGGAGAUGAUGAAGGACACAUCAAAGGCCUGAAAAACAAGCCAGCGUUUCUGUAACGUAUUAAUCACCCCAUGCGGGGCCGGGUGUGGGAAUGGGGAGAGGGUGCGCUCUCUCUCUCAUCACACGCAUGUUUUCUAUCUAAGCUUUGUUUCCGCUGGAUCUUCCCCACUAACGCAUCCUUCUUUAGCACCUUGUACUCAUUUAUUGCCAGGCUGUUUAGCAGCACAAAUCAAUUAAGUCCUGCAGAAACCCACUGAGACAGAGUGUGGUUCCUAUCUCUGGUUCAGCUGGGGUGGGAGGUGUGCAGAGGUUAAGCCUGGACUUGUUGCUGCCCAUCCAACUGCAGCACCAGGCUUAGCGUGCAAGAGUGAGCGCUCACCAUUAAUCAUGAGUGUGCCAUGGUCCGUGGCUAUUUUAAUCACUGUUGAAAUACACAUGCAGUUCCCGAUCCUAAAAAUGGUAUUUGACUCCAAUGCACAUGAUUUCCUUUGGCUUCCUUUCCCCACUUAAAAGCAAGCCAUAACUCCUGGGAAGCGCACGCGCUGGCAUCCAUACAUUGCUUCUCGGCUGUCAUGGAGCAAAAAAGUUGGUUCUCCCUGUAGCAUAAGAUCUGUGCUGCCAGACAUAAAUAUCAGAAUAUAUUGUAAUGGGCUACUGUGGUAUGGAUGUGGGGUGGCUGUUGUGACCACAGGCUGGUGGCCAAAACCUGUCCCAUGUCAUGGAGCACUGGAAAUGCCAUUGGCCCCACUGUCGCAUUAGUCCUUUAUUAUGUAAUGAUUAAAAACGGCUCUUGUAUAUGCUGGCACUAAUUAGGGGAUGUCAGUUGGUGCCAGUGGAUGAAGGAGAAGUGUGUUUGUAAACUGCAGGCUGCAGAAACCACUAAGACUUUUUUAAUUUUUCCUUUAAAAAAUGCUGAACAAAAGUCACAGGAAAUUUAGUGGGAAAAAUUGCUCAUCCACAGAGUGAGGAGCGCAGUCAGUCGGGUACACUAGUCAUCCAGGAUCCCUUCAGCAUUUAUCACAUUGCGUCAGGUUAUGGGAACCAUGACAAAUAGUCAAGACAGCUAUGGACAGUUAUAAUGUAGGAUUUAACGCAUUGCACCUGACACUGUUUUUUUUCUUGUAUCUUUAUUUUUCCCCCCCUUUUAUUUUUAAAGCUGCACAUAAAGCAGCAUCGGGCUCAGUAACGAGAGGCCUUUCUGUCUGCUGGGCUUCCAGAUUAGGAAACCAAAUCCUGCUACAAUGACAUAACGAAGUUUUCAACCUUGCUGUUGCAAAGACAGGUGCACACACACGUCACACUGUCCUCAUCAGCUGAUGCAUUUGUGUGCUUGAGACUCAGGGAAGCCUGUUCACUUCACUUUACGACGGUUUAGUUUGGUUUUGCUCUUCAGAAAGUACCAAAUAUCAACCUUUGAACCCCAGGAAAUUCAAAGUGGGCACCAGAACAGGGUCCAGCUCUUGCCAGGGCCAGUUCUGCUAAAGCCAGAGGCUCCUUGAGAACUUGGAUUUCUUCAGUAUUGCUGAAAAAGAAAUGUUUAAACUAUGACCAAAAAUUGCCUAAAUAACCAUAUUUCCUCUGUAAAGCAGCUAUUUAUCAGGAACUACAGCAAACUGCCAAAGGCCUUCAGUAGAUGGAAGGAGAUUUGCCUGUAAAAUUAUUUCCUGCACUAGUUUUAUUCCAUUUAUGUGGCUGACAUACAAUUUCUGUUUGAAUGUACCACGUUAAGCUAUUCUGGACAGAAGUUGAGCACUAAAAGCGGCUGCUAAUAUUACAGGGCAGUUCAGAAAGUGUCCCCUGCAGCCUGGAAUGCUGGUGCUUGAAAGACGUUAAUCGAAUUGCUUGUACUUGAAGAGCAAUUUGGUUUUUUUCCUUUUCCCUGUUGGGAUCUCAUCCUGCAACCUUUGCUGCCUUGCAUCUAUUCUUUGUGGGCUGUUGUAACACUCUCACCAAUUGAGAUGCUCUGUGUAUGAGUAGUGGGUCAAGUUUAGUUCAUCUGCCGUUAUCCAUUUUUCAGGGAAAGAAUUGUGUUCGUGCAAGUACCAGGGUGUUUUAUUUCAGGAGGGUCUAUUUUAAUGGCCAUGUUACCUAGCAUAGACUAGGGAUGGCAACAUCACUCUGGUGCAAAGCUUAAGGCUGAUGGCAUCACCUGAGAUGGGAACUUGCAGUUUGCCAUAAGGUACAAGACCCAAGGUUAUGAAGCGCUGGACCAGCCUGUCAGACAUUUAUGUAUGCAGAGUUCCUAUAGAACACGAGAAAAUGAUCCAUUCAUCGGGGCACUGGCUUUAGAAUGAAUUGCAGGAGUUGCUCUGUGCACAGCCUUUGUUAGAGGAUUCAGACUCGUCCCUCUGACUUUAAAAUCCAUAAGUGGAUUCUCUUGAUAGUGGCAGAGCAGAGGUAGGAAGAAGCUGGGGAGGCUUAUUCCAGUAUUUCAGAGCAGAAAUGUGUUUAUUUAAACAUAUAAAUAUUCUUAUUUUGAGUAAGGUGGAGAUACUAAAGAUAAAAAUUGUAACAUAGAAACACAUCCAAAAAAGUUAAAAGCCCUCAUUUCAGAUCUCCCUGUUUUCAGCACAAAGAAUAUUCCACUGCAGUAGGCGGUUGCUCUGCAGCCUGUUAGCGGUUGAGGCGAUUCUGUCCAGUUGGUUUUGUAGGUAACAGAAUAAACUGAUUCCAUCCACACAUCUUGCCAAGGAAACAUUCCAGCCCUUCCAUCUUAUUUCAGUAUCAGAUGAAGACACAAGAGUUGCGAGAUGAAGAAAUCCUUGUGGAGCGGAGCAGAGGGUCCAGGGCUUCCUGUGGUGAGGCCAUCUCAGAAACCAAAGGUGACGAAGCAAGAAGUCCUGAACCAAACAGUUCCAAAGCGGCACAUUCCUGGAGUCAGCCUGCAGGGAAGGAUGCGCCCGGGACGGUCCUGUGAGGCCUUGAGCAGCACAAGCUCCUUUGUUCCCAGAUGGCUGAACAGCACCCGUCUGGCACUGAGGGUAAGUUCUUGCGCCCAUUGUCUCAUCUUAUCUAGUCACACAGUCGCUGGGACACAGAUUGUCCUUUAGGGCUUGCUGACACAGGGCAGUUGACUAUUCUGCAAUAGCUACAGCAGGAUGACUUCAUGUGAACACACUCAUUCCACAGCAGCUGGUACCGCUCCCGAUUCAUACCAUACCUUAACUGGAGCAGCGUCAGGGUGUCAGUGUGCCUUACAGUGCUACGCGGGACCUGGACUCAGUUUGGGCUUCUAGUCACUUCUCAUGUACAAAGAAUUCAGCUUUAAGAAAAGCAGCUGAAAUGCUCCUGAGAAUAACAAAUAACAAAUUAGUAAAUCUUGCUCCAGAGCCAUAUAAUCCAAUUAAAAAUAGAUAAGUGACAUGUAAAGGCAGGUCUACCUAGAUGGUAUGCUAAAGAAACAAAAAAAAGCACAUGCAUUUCUAAUCUGUUGGCACAUCCAUAUAAAGCAGAAUUAAUUGAUAAUCAUAUCAGUGAAUUGAUAAGCAUUAUAAAAGCCUUAAACAAAGCGUUUUCAAAAAGAUGAUGAGUAAUCCAACCAGACAGUGCCAAAAGGGACUGUAGCUGUCGUGGGACCAGAUUAAUUGGUCUAUCCAUACCCCUAGGCAGAGUUACUAAAGGCUAAAUGCUUGGAACAUUGGUGCAGAGUUCAAUGAAAAUAAAAACUUUUACUCAACAUAUAGAAGCUCUUAGAAAUGCAGAUGAAGUUAGAAGGCAUUAAAAUGACAAAUAAUUUAAUAUUAUUGUUCUAUUUAACAAAUUGCUUCUCUGCAUGCAGUUACUGCAUCCUGGUCUGAUCUGAGAAAAUGAGGCAACUAAUGCUCAGAGAAAGGUGCUGAGGAUGAGCAGAGACCUGCAACGGCCUCGAGCGGUUCGGCAGAAGAGCAGUAAAGCAGAGCUGGGGAGGUGAGUGGUUGGGGUGGGGGGCUCUAUCUCUGGGGUUGGGUGUGAGCACCUCUGCUUGCAUUUCACUCUGGGCGGGGGACUUUGCAAGACAGACAGGACAGGGAGAGAAAACACUUGGUUUGUUUCAUUUCCCCACUUUGGGCUUCAUACCAAGCACACUCUCCACACCACAGUUCACAGCAGCAUGUUUUCAGCUCCGGUUGAACAGAAAUGCUCUCCCCAGCCUGAAGCAUUGCUCCGAUUCACAAACAAGCCGUGUGAGCACUUUCCUUCCAGGCCUCCCCGUGCCGGAGGUCACAGUUGACCAUUGCAAGAACAAUAAGGAUUUUUAGGGGCAUUAUGACUGGGUUAGCAAAACACAGCUGCCCCUGAAAGUCCCUCAUUUUUCUUGCUGCCGCUCAGUCCGUCCCUAGGAGGGCAGAGGUCUGACAAGGUCCUUUCUCUCCAACACGGCUGUGCCAUCUCAUGCUGGCACACACGGCUUUGCUGAUGUCCCCAGGAGCCCCCCAGCCGUGACACAGCCAGCAGAAGGUGUGGAACUGGUGUCAUCCCCGCAGGCUCCCUCCUGAGCAAACAUCACACUGCAUUUUAGUGUAAGGCAGAUUUGUCUGUCUGUCACUCAGCAGAAAUGCCAUCAAGCAAAGCCUGGCACAGCUGGCUGCAAGCAGCCCUCAGAUACCCCAGACUGCUGGGGCAGAAGGUAAUAACAGCUCAUCCUGCAAACACCCACGGUGCUGGCAAUCAGUGAGCACUGGCGCGGUGUCCAGGAGCAGUGGAGACGCCAGGGCCGAGCAGCUCUCUGCACGGACACCGCUGCACAUCCUGCACUUGUACAUCGUGACCUGCGAUCCCCAGGCUGCCCAGCUGCAGCACCCACCUGCCUGACCGCAGAAGCAGUUGCUGUUUAUUUAUUAAUACCUGGGAUUUUAAUUAGGGAAUCACUACUGAUUUCUCAACAACUUCCUACUUAAGGAAAUAUCAGAAAAAGAUCUAUAGGUUCCCUACUGAAAAUGUACCAAAUAGUUGGCUGGGAAAUUUCAACUCUCACUCCCAAGUCCUCCUGGAAAGCCCAGCCCAGCCCAGCAUACCCUUAGGACAAUGAGCAACAUUUUCCUUUUAAUUCAUCAGUAAUUUGAAUUUUGAUGGAGGUGGAUUCAACAGAAACUACAGGCAGAUUCCCACAAUUCUGCUCUGUUGUUUCUCCAUGAACUACAGGGUGCUAGGACGUAUCCACCCCCAUGGUGGGCUUGCAACCAUCCCUGCAAGCCGCAGCCAAGAGGGAUUUUAUGACAGGCUUCCACCAUGUUUGUGGAAGAGCAGGGAACCCCUGAAGACUCUCAGGGCUUUUUUUUUCUUGCAGCAAAGACAUCGUGUCCCUCAGGAGAGAACCCUUUUCCCCAUUCCCAAUUACAAUCUAGGAAGAACCUGUCUCUGAAAACCUGCAAGGUGCGCAGCCAUCUCCCAGAGCACAGAGCCCUCCGCCUGCCCCGGCCCAAGCACGCACCGGCCUCAACCGCUGUGUGACAUUCAGCUCCAAAACAAAGAGGCCGAGUUGCCACAUUGAGCCAGAGCAGCAUCUUGUUUGGAGCUGCUGCAGUUCAAACAUGCCAUCUCCAGGGACACGCACACAUGCAAUGGAAACGCCGAGGCUUGGGGCAGUCACAAAGAUCCCAGCCACGUGCAACACAAGAUGAAUAUCCUUGCCCGUCCCAACAGAAGGUGACAGUCUGCAGUAGCAGGCAACCUGGCAAAAAACACCCGAGAGUCUCUUAUUACAGUGCAAAGCCACACCUUACUUUCAUUAGAAUUUCUUCUACGGCUUGCAAGUCAAAUGAAAGCAAACCCUGUGUCCUGAUUUGUUCAUAAAACAUGAGCCAUGAUUCCGAUCCAAAUAUUAUUUGCAUCUUUGAGAAAAUUACAACAGCAGUAUAAUAAUAAUUAAAAAAAAGCAGCAGCCCUCUGAAUGCUAAUGACGUUGGUGUCCUAAAUGAAGCACAAAAGCCAGAGUCUGCAAGAAGCAAAACAUGAGUCAGAGCAUCAGCAGUCCCACACUGAAAGCAGCACUCAUGGCUGCUUCAUUCAUUUAAGGAAUCAAUUCCUUUGUAAUGAGCAUCAAGUAGUUUUAGGACUCAAAUUAAAAUGAGAUGCAUGCUGUUAUUAUUUUCAAAAGUUCUUUCUUUUUUUCUUGGAUUGACAAUAAACGACUCCUCUGUAGUUGGAAGGAGCCCCAGGCAUGGACCAGGUCCCUGUGGCACUUGCCAUUGUACGGACACGGAAGAAAAUCCAAUGAGCCCCUGCCUCAGGGAGACCACAGCCUCCCCAGCACCAGCACACAGAGCACACCCACGUACAGAAAAGCAGGUAAUCAGAAUCGUUGCAGAUUUCAGCCUGGGUAGGCUGUCUCACCCCAAUUUUAUUUUACUCGCAUCGGGUUGCUGGCAGAUUCCAGCGAGGAUGGAUGUGUGCUGCUGCGGGGAACGCCUUCACGGAGCCUUUACAUGUUCCUUCUCAGGCUGCAAAGCCAGCGGGAGGCUGCGUGUGCUCGCUGAGGGGAAUCCUGCCCAGGCCGCUCGCAGCUCCUUGCCACCCCAGUUCCACUUCUAGGUGAGGCACGAUCAGAUCUUCAUCAGCAGAGCACAGAUCUCUAGGCUACACUGAUGUUAUCAGGCUGAUUUGGGACUGAAGUCUUUUUGGUGCAUUGGAUUUGAAACUCAGAAAACACAAGAACAGCACAAAAGCAAACCAAAGGUAAAAAAUUAUUGCAGUUUCUAGAAUUCUUCCAGCUUUAGUCAUCAAAAGGGAUUGUUAGAAACAGACAAAGGGCUGUUUCCCUUAUUUUUUGUAAGUGUGAAUUUUGUCCUGACAGUUUCCUUUCAGAAACAAAAAUUGAAAACAAAUUGUCCUAUACACAAAACAAAGGGACAGACCCUCAGCUGGAAUGGACUGGUAUUACCAAAGAACAACACCCACUCACAGGAGAGACUGUGGCCCUUUUAACGGCUGCUGAUCCUGCUCUGCCCAGACAAGAGCUUCAGCCUCUGGUUCUAGCACUGGCUCUAGGUAGCUUGAAAAAAGUCAAAGGGGCUGUCUUCAGAGCAGCUGAAAACACAGCAGGGCUCCAAGGACUGCACACUUCCCAAACCUGGAGCCAGCUCCAGGUGCGUAAGCCAGCAAACACAACAGCAAGAAAAUAACCGAUACCAACAUGGACCUGAAAUUCAUGAGCUGCUCUGGAGAAAUGCUGGCAAAGCAGGCUUCCAGAAACCACUUACAUGUGGGGUUUACUUUCUGAAAAGAGGCUUGUCUCAGAUUUUUCUCUCAAAACCAAGACUAAGCUGAUCAUCAUCUUGAAAAUGACAUGAGAAGUCCCCAGGAAAAUAUUAACUGUGCAGUGCAGAACAAAUGCAUGACUAACUGUGAUCCAUCCCAGCCCCCAUGAGAGGCCGUGACACAGCACUAUUGCACCCGGCGUUUGGGAAACGCCAUCAGCCAUGAGCAAGUUACUAAGAGCAGCAGUUAUUGGCUUUGGGUCCUGUCAGCACACAGGAUGACUCUCAUCGGGCUGUCCUUUGUUCAGGCCCAAGCACGCUCCAGAAGUGCCCAUGUUAGCCAGGUUCGUUAGUCUCCCUCACCCACAAGACAACAAAGACAUACACACUAGGAAAAUUCAGGCAGUGCCUCACUUCACCAAGGAACAGACGACAUCCCCAUUGCCGCCGUCUCCAGCAGCAAGAGCUGCCCGGCCUCCGCAUGGAGGGACCCAAAAGUGAACAAACUCCUGAGCACAAGUGGAAGAGCAACCAUCCUCUAGGGUGACAAGGGUGGGUUUGGGCACGUGCAUUUUACAUUUCACUCCCUUUGCAAUCCUGAGUUUGGAGCAUCACUUCUCCUCCCUCCCACCCUCAACAUCAGCAGAGGAACUGGAAAGCCAGAGUUAUUUUUAGGAGAUAGUACAUUUAGGCCCUGUUAAUCUUGACUGGGUCCCUUUGAAAAUGACGUGGUUGGGUAAUCAAACACAUUACACAGACUUUCCAUGGAGGCCGCUUUGAAAAUGAGCCUCCACCGUUCAGCAAAGUGGGAGCCAACAGUUCGAAUAGUAACGUUUGAUGCUGCACUGACUUGCCUCAUUGUGGUGACCUCACUAAUAUUUUUAUGCAAAGGCACGAAGAACAAAGAAAUUAAAGCAGCUAACUGACGUUAAGUAUAAAAACUAAAACAAUUAGUCAUCAAAAAGCCUUCUAGAGGGUGCUGGAGUACACCCACCUUGCAUGGCAAGAGACCAUUACCUGGCUCAGGCUGGCCAAGAAGAGGAUGGCAGUGCUGCCCUGUCAAAUAGAGAGGCCAAAUGAGCACGUUGGCAAAAUGCGCUCAGAGCAACUCAGAAGGGAGCUGCUGGUGUGAUGACUGAAGUAUUACACUGGUUGGCACAAGGAAGGGUGCAGGGAAGGAGAACACUGGGAGGAAAACACCAGGGGAGGAGCUCUGGCUCAUAGGGGCUCCAUGACGGCCAGUGAGUUCACCCGGGCACAGCCAACCAGCCCAGCCUGGCCACAGCUGUCCCACUGAAGUCCAAGCCACCAAAAGAAGUGGGGGGCCACACCUGCACACCUGUGGAUGAUGGUCCUUCGCUCAUAGUGACUUUCAGACCAUAGUCAGGACUGGCUGCAGGAGUCCCAGGCUUCUACCUAAAUUCUGACCAGCACGUUACAAGCAAAGCUGCCAGGCGGAAGCUGUGCAGAUUGGGCUUUGCUGGAACAGAACCUGGUCUGGCCGGCAGUAAGGGAAGCAAAGAGUUAUAGGAGAGCAGCAGGAAAUCGCCAAGCAAAAGGGAUUUUUAAAUCAUUUAACUUUAAACAAAACGAAGGCAUUAGCGUAAAGUAAAUGGCCACACCUUGCUACUUAUGUGGUUCUGCUAACAAGACCAGCUUUUCCAUAGCUAUUCAAAUAUAAUGAGGCCUGGGUGCCUAACUCACUGGGGUUUAAGCUCAUUUCCAAACUCCAGCCAAAAAUCACUUUCUGAUUCACCACUUUCUCAGGCACACCAGUAUUUAGAGAACACCUGCAGGCUGGUACUCUGCUCCACAAAGUACAUAAGCACAUGUUUAAUUACUCCAUGGACGUGAUUAAUUCUAUGCUUAAAGUUAAGCAUGUGCUUAAGCGUGCUACUGCCCUGGAAUUUUCACUGGAUCUGUCAGGUAUUCUGAUGAUCCCUAUUUUCCCAUUCUUUGAGGCUCCAUAAGUGGAAAGAAUGUUAAGAGUAUUCCUCGGGUCAUACACCCCAAAGAAUUCACCCAAAUCUGGUGUCUGACUUCGUGUUCUUAAAUUACAACUUUUGUACUUAUUCUCCCCAUGUUCCCACCAAUACUGAUUAUCAGCAUGACAAUAGCAUGCAUGUUAUCAGGAUAUGUUAGCAUUAAAACAUGAGAUACUUAUUACAAUGAACAAGCUUUUAAAAAGCUUUGAGCUUAGUUUUUGCCUUUCCUGAAUAGGGCUUUGAGUAAGAACUUAAUUUCAUUUGCACAUUUUAGGGAUUAAUUCCCUUAUGCCUGGGCAGUGUACAAUGUCCUAAAAAAAAUAUGAAUCAUAUCAUUAAAACUGUUGCCCCUGCUGGCAGUGGACUCAUCACAUGGAAGAACUCGAGCAUAAAAUAUGCAUCAGCUAUGGGUGGUCACGUAAAUUCACAUUUCAUUAGUCACAGCAUACAUGAUCCUGGGGAUUUUCUUCACUGCACUUUUCCACCUUUUCAGCAAGUGCUUAUUCCUAAUUCAUAAUAAUUUCAGGAAGGUCGAAUUGUAUCCGUUCCCCAGGGAGGAGCAAGCAGAGGACACUGGCAUCUGAAAGCUCCAUUUUUUUUUUUUUUAAGACAAAACUGCCUGUUUUCUGACUCAGGAAAUCGCCACUCGAGGAUGCUGGAUGGGCUGGACUAGAGCCGCUUCUCGAGGCAGAUGUGUGACCCGUCUGCGCUGCCAGCUGGAGCAUCGCGAACUCGGGAACACCCGUGCCCCAGGUUCACCCACUAAAAUCAUUUAAUAUUGACAAGCCAAGAGAUUUCAAUUACAACACAGCACGUGGAAAAAAGUUUUCAACAACCAAGAGCACACAGGAGUUGAUUACGAGAGAGGAGACACAUGUCUCUGAAGGAAGCCUUCUGUGAAGAAAACAGAUACAAUAAUUGAUAAACAUUUUGGCUGCUUCUAACUUGUGCCAUCACAUGCUAUUUGUUGCCAGUAUAGUCAUGAAAAGCACUUAUUUUGGAUACCAGGACGCAAGAGAGGAAAAAGCCAGUCAGCGCUGGCUGGCUGGGCCUGGGUGCCCUCGCUCUUCUCACAGCACUAAUAUCAUGAAAUCAAACUCUUAAGCUAUGUUGCUCUCUGCUUAAGAUGUUGCUGUUUCAUAGUAAGUUUACAGCUCUUUUUUUGCUACAAAAUGCAGUAAAAUCUGUCACAAAACAAUGAAGUCUAUAUCACUAGGGAACCUAGCAUUCAUCUGUAGGUUUGGGAGAAUUUACAUGACUUUUUCUCUCAUUUCAGCAUUACUUCACAGUGAUAACUCUGAAAUGUUUUCCUAAAAGGACCAGAUUCCCAGAUACAGGUUCAGUCACCAAAAUGAGAGGACGGGACAAAUCCUGAGCUGGUGCAGACCAGGAUAUCCCCAUUGGCUUACAGGAGAUGUUUUACUUAGCAAUGGGCACAGCUGCUGUUUCUUUAGAGAGCUGUAAAUUCCUUCUGUGAUGUAGACAACCUACAAGUCUAAUUUAUAUUUUAAGAUUUAAGUCCUAUCAGAUGUUUUGAAACGAAACUACAGCUUGUGUUCUUUUUGAAGGCAAUAAUAUCUGAAAAGUGUAAAGACAUCCAAAACUUUAUGUAACUAGUAUUAUAUAACACCUUAAACUGGCUCAUAGGCAUUUUCCUUACUCUGAAUUUAUUACAGUUUUAUUUGGGGCAUGUGAAACAACUCACUACACAAGUGCAGUCACUCACAUGGGGUUGGGUUAGGGGGAGAGAGUUCACUCCAGUGGAAAUUCUACAGUGUAGAAUAUGUUUGCAAAGAUGUCUGCAAAGAAACACUGUUAGAAAAAACCAUUUCAUUGUGUCUCACUGCCCUUAAUGGCCAUUGAUGACAAAGAUUAAAUAAGUCCUGGAAAGAGGCGAGAGAUAGUGUUCGUUUUAAAGGCCAAAUGCAUGCAGAAGCUCCGACUGCAUAUAGCAUUAAUGUCAUAAAUGAGUGUGAAUGUUCUCAUUCAGGCUAUAAUUUAUUCCCCAAGGAGAUGCAAAACUAGCACAAAUAUGCUACAUGCAAACCAAACUCUUCCAGUGAAGCGAGUGCAGUGAGUGAAUCCUGGAGCUUAAUUUAGGCUGGGACUUGGAGUAACCCAACUCUGAUCUCGGCGCAGCACUAACCUGGCUCUGAUCUCGGCGCAGCACUAACCUGGCUCUGAUCUCGGCGCAGCACUUUGAGCGGCAGCUCACAACCAUUGGGAAGUGAGUCAGUGAAGUUCUCCUUUGUUACAGCCUAUUUUGGAUGAAGUUUUUGGAACUGUUUACUAACUCAGAUUAAAGAAAUUCAGCUGAAAUGAGUUAAGUUUCGUUGUUCAGUGUGAUUGUUAAAAAAAAAAAUAAAGUGUUUUAAAAUGUAGAUUCAAGCUGGUUUUUGGCUGCAUACAAUACCCCGUGUGAAACAGACACUUAAUAAAUCGAAAGCCAUAUGUAAAACACUAAAUGUAGAGCUGAAUAAUCCACAACAUGGGAAAAAAAUUGAAUGCUGUAAAUACCCAAUUAGUUUUUUUCACAAAUGACAUUAUUUGUUUGGCUUUAUGGUCCAAGGUAAAUUAGAAUGGGCAAGCUCCUUUGUGAUUAAGCACUUCUCUGUUUCUUUUUCAGUACAACUGUUACAUUUGUAUGUGAACAUUUUCCUUGACCAGAAAUGUUUCCUUCAAAAUUAAUAGAUGAAGUCACAAUUACACAAAAUAUCUUUGUAGUCAAAGCAGAUCGUGUAAUAAAAAACAUUUUAAAUGCAA